This is an RNA transcript of Sorghum bicolor (sorghum), 2002 nucleotides long. RefSeq lists it as uncharacterized. Lineage: Eukaryota; Viridiplantae; Streptophyta; Magnoliopsida; Poales; Poaceae. The record is from RefSeq and is a predicted model, not a curated record. The transcript has 11 exons.
GCUGGGUGGUUGAAGCGGAGACGCAACGAGAAAAAUACGUACGGCUGUCGCGGGUCGCGGGCGGCAGGAGUCGGGGCGCGCGGGAGAGAUGAUAAGGAUGGCGGCGGCGGCGUCUCAGCCACCAUCGUCAGCCGUGCGGGUGCGCGGGUGCGGCGGCGCGGCGUCUGUGUCGUCGGCGCGCCCCUUCACGGGGUCGCCGCGGGGUAGAGUCGCGGCGUCGAUUGGGAAGGGGAGGAAGCGGAGGCGCGCCAUCUCGUGCUGCUCGUCUCCGGACGCAGAUGGACCACGCCCCGCCGCGCCACCGACCUCCGCGGCGCCUUCGGACGGGUCGAUACAGCUCUAUUCCCAGAUUGAGAGGGUGAUCACGGAGGCGGCAAAGCAGUCCCGGGAGGGCUGGGGUUCGACUGGAGAUUGGACCGAAGUCGAGGGAGCGUGGGUAUUGCGACCGAAGUCCUCGGAGCCAUCAUUUGUUGUCCACUUUGUUGGAGGAAUUUUUGUCGGAGCCGCUCCCCAGAUCACAUACCGCUUCUUCCUUGAAUGUCUCGCGAACAGGGGAGCUUUGGUGAUUGCUACGCCUUAUGCGAGCGGCUUUGACCAUUUCUUCAUUGCAGAUGAAGUUCAAUUUAAGUUUGAUAGGUGUUUGAGAAACUUGGAUGAGCCUGUAAAUGAUAUCCCAACAUUUGGUGUUGGACAUUCCUUGGGAUCUGUUAUCCACAUGUUGAUUGGAUCAAGAUAUGCUGUGCAGCGAAGUGGAAAUGUACUGAUGUCCUUUAACAACAAGGAGGCAAGCUCCGCGGUUCCACUAUUUUCACCUGUAAUUGUUCCCAUGGCACAAAGUUUUGGCCCGAUACUGUCCCAAUUGACAUCAUAUCCAACAAUCCGAUUUGGGGCAGAAGCAGCCAUUAAGCAGCUUGAGAAUCUAAGCCCACCUGUGGUUAAGCAACUUCUACCUUUACUUCAACAACUUCCUCCGUUGUAUAUGGACUUAGUAAAUGGGAGGGAGGACUUCAUUCCAAAACCAGAAGAGACACGCCGCCUGAUAAAAUCCUACUAUGGGAUUUCUCGGAAUCUCUUAAUAAAGUUCAAAGAUGAUCAAAUUGAUGAAACCUCUACCCUUGCACAAGUACUAAGCUCCGAAGCAGCUAUUAGCUCGUUGCUUGAUAUGUCAAUUCGAUCACUUCCUGGGGAUCAUGGGCUACCAUUGCAACAGGUUCUUCCUGAUGUUCCACCAGCAAUGGCUGAUGCAGUGAACCGUGGAGGUGAACUUCUGGCAAAUCUGACAAUGGGCACACCAUGGGAGGCUGUUGCUAAGGAGGUUGGUACCAGUUUGGGUACUGACUCAGGCAUUCUACGAGCACAGAUCUCAAAAGACAUUGAAACUCUUGUUGAUGUAAUUGCUUCAUGGAUAUCUUCAAAUUCUGGUCCAAGACUACUUCGCCCAUGAUCACCCAGCAGUCUGCGUACAUAAAUGUUAGUAACAGUGAAGAGCGACAUGAUUGCACUGAUGAAUUGUGAAGGAAGGAUGCAUGGCACUGGCAAUAGGAGCUUUUGUGGACAAUCUAAACCCAUUGGCAAAGGCAAGAUCUCCUUCCUCAGAUUAUUGGUCUGUAAUCAAUUUGGAUUAAAGGUAAACAAUAUAGGCUUAUAAGGUUCCUAAGUAAGAAUAUUUCUUCCCACUAAGUGUAUUAAAAUCUUAUAUUCAAAAUGUAAGAGAUGCUAGUAAAUGGGCAAUGAAAUUAACCUACAUAGUUAUACAUAAGACGUCUUUUACAUGAAGGCAUUCUCAGUGUUCUUCACAGUUUGUAGCCAAUAUUGUGUAGUGGACUCUAACAUCUAUCUUUUUUUGUUGGACAUGCAUCUACCUCCUAUAUUGAGAUUUUGCACUUGCUAGAUUCAACAGCAUAGCAUGUGGACAUUUUCCAUAUAGGAGGUAGACAGAAUUGCCUUCCAGUUUUUUUUUUUUCAAUGUCACUAAUAUAUGGAUCAUCCUUGAAAGACUUCA